Callorhinchus milii (elephant shark) is the source of this 359-nucleotide long non-coding RNA. RefSeq lists it as uncharacterized. The transcript is spliced from 3 exons. NCBI's taxonomy places the organism in Eukaryota, Metazoa, Chordata, Chondrichthyes, Chimaeriformes, Callorhinchidae. The record is from RefSeq and is a predicted model, not a curated record.
GACGGAGAUCACGCUGAGCAACACUGGGAAAGUCGGGAUCGAGUUCAAGAUUGUGAACCAUGAGCAGAGUCUGGAUCAGGAGCUCGUGCCAGGAAUACCGUUCAUCACUCCCCUGUCGGGCUAUAUCAAAGCGAACACUGAACAGAAGCUGAAGGUGUGUUACCUGCACGCACUCCCUGAGGUCUUUCACAAGAGCUUCGAGAUCCAGAUCUCACACUUUGAGCCGGAGAGGAUCACACUGACCGGAGAGGGGGUCUUUCCCCGGAUCUACGUGGAUUUACCCCGCAACAUACCCGAGAACACGGAAUACGAGGCUCUGCUGCUUCAAGCCAGACAGUCCCUGGACAACGACCCCCAGA